This 126-nucleotide transfer RNA is filed under the name Coriobacterium glomerans PW2. RNAcentral describes it as "tRNA-Gln (CTG) (tRNA-Gln-CTG-2-1)". Lineage: Bacteria; Bacillati; Actinomycetota; Coriobacteriia; Coriobacteriales; Coriobacteriaceae. The record is from RNAcentral.
CGUGAUGUGGGGUAGAUUGGGCGUCGUCCUCAUGGUGAUCGGCAAGUUCGUACCGUGAAUCAAACGCAACUAUCACAGCGGAUUCUGGUUCCGCCAAUGGGGGUUCGACUCCCUCCAUCCCAGCCA